UUUCCCUUUACCCUCUUUAAACCCUAGCUCUUUUGCCCCCUUUUCUUUGUUGCUCUUCAAUUUUUUCUGCUUGAUCGAAGAUGAGUCGACCAAUGGAAGAGGAUGCCCCUCAAGGGAAAAAUGAGGAAGAGGAGUUCAAUACUGGGCCACUUUCUGUCCUCAUGAUGAGUGUUAAGAAUAACACACAGGUGCUCAUCAACUGUAGGAACAACAGGAAACUUCUUGGUCGUGUGAGAGCAUUUGAUCGUCACUGCAAUAUGGUGCUUGAAAAUGUUAGAGAAAUGUGGACUGAGGUGCCCAAGACUGGAAAAGGAAAAAAGAAAGCUGUUGCUGUUAACAAAGAUAGGUUUAUCAGCAAGAUGUUCCUUCGGGGAGAUUCUGUGAUCAUUGUCCUCCGAAAUCCCAAGUAGAGAGGUGAAUUGGAUUUCUGUGCUUUGGAGCAAAACUUGUAAGCAGCUAGGAUUUGGACCAGCUCUGUAUAACCUUUCGUAUUCGGGAAUUUGGCUAGGCAGAACACCACCUUUGAUUGCUGUAAGACUUGAUAUAAGAUUUUGAUGUUCUGGUAUGCUAUAUACUGUUGUCUUCUUCACAAACUUAUUGUAGACGUUGGAGUUUAACGUUCUUUUUGUGUAUGUUGAAUCCUAUGACCAGCUAAUAUGUACGGUAAAUGUCUUGCAUUAACUCCAGA
RNAcentral lists this unclassified non-coding RNA (688 nucleotides) under Hevea brasiliensis (rubber tree). Lineage: Eukaryota; Viridiplantae; Streptophyta; Magnoliopsida; Malpighiales; Euphorbiaceae. The record is from RNAcentral.